This 253-nucleotide ribosomal RNA is filed under the name uncultured bacterium. RNAcentral's name for it is "partial 16S ribosomal RNA". It matches the Rfam family "Bacterial small subunit ribosomal RNA", at positions 524 to 776 of the family's 1533-position model. The record is from RNAcentral.
UACGUAGGGAGCAAGCGUUGUCCGGAAUCAUUGGGCGUAAAGAGCGCGUAGGCGGUCCGGUAAGUCGGUUGUGAAAACUCGAGGCUCAACCUCGAGACGUCGGCGGAAACCAUCUGGCUAGAGUCCGGAAGAGGAGAGUGGAAUUCCUGGUGUAGCGGUGAAAUGCGCAGAUAUCAGGAAGAACACCCGUGGCGAAGGCGGCUCUCUGGGACGGUACUGACGCUGAGGUGCGAAAGCGUGGGGAGCAAACAGG